CCCCUUCCCUGGCAAGGGAAAUACCAUGACCAAGUAGGUGGUUUUCCAGGGUGAGGCUUGGCUCUGCUGACCCCUGCAAUUUCCACAAAUGCGGGAAACUUGACUGCAUGAUUUGUGGUAGUGGGGGACUGUGUUCACUCUCUCCUCUG
Small nuclear RNA from Alligator mississippiensis (American alligator), 149 nucleotides. It matches the Rfam family "U1 spliceosomal RNA". Rfam says of the family: U1 is a small nuclear RNA (snRNA) component of the spliceosome (involved in pre-mRNA splicing). NCBI's taxonomy places the organism in Eukaryota, Metazoa, Chordata, Crocodylia, Alligatoridae. The record is from Rfam.